RNAcentral lists this transfer RNA (87 nucleotides) under Deltaproteobacteria bacterium RIFCSPHIGHO2_02_FULL_44_16. RNAcentral describes it as "tRNA-Ser". It matches the Rfam family "tRNA". Rfam says of the family: Transfer RNA (tRNA) molecules are approximately 80 nucleotides in length. Lineage: Bacteria; Deltaproteobacteria. The record is from RNAcentral. RNAcentral also lists the same sequence under 1 other name.
GGAGAGGUGCUAGAGCGGUUGAAUAGGACGGUCUCGAAAACCGUUAUACCGGAAACGGUAUCGAGGGUUCAAAUCCCUCCCUCUCCG